UUUGGUCAACUAGUACGGCAUAUCAGUGUUAAUGCGAGAGGUGUGAGCCUAAGGGAUGACUGAGAAAGUUUCCGAGCACAUGCAGGGUAUAGUUUUCUUCCCCCUUAUAUAUCAUAAACAGUACAUGCCAAGAAAGAAUAGACACAUAUACACAAUGCUCAAUGACUGUAAUCUUAUAUGUAAAUCAAACUAAAGAAAACUCAAGGUCCUAAAAUUAUGAAGCGAGUUGACGAAAGCAAAUGACUGUAGUGUGACAGCCUUCUUCAGCCAAUUACCUCUGAGCUCGAGUCAUCAGAAGGCCAUAUCACGGUCUCCAUGAGGCGUUCACGCAUCAACGCCAAGUUCUCAUCAGAUAUAUCUUGGUAUAUCUUCCCAUGGUCGCAUUUCUACAAGUAACAACAAAACUACACAAGAUUAGUUUUGAGUCUUUUCUGGUUCACAUGGCAAAACCGGGUAAUAAUAUUGGUCCAGAUAUAGUGUUGGGUUUGCGAGUUGAUCUGUCCGUCGCUGGACGGAUCAAAUAAUUUUUUAUUCAGAAAAAUAACCCAUUUGACCCGUAAACAAAAAGUUUAAAAGACACAUCUGCCCUGCUAAAAUCCGCCGGAACUGCGGGUAAUAUUAGUUAUAUUAAAAAUAUUUAUUUUAAUUAUAUAUUAAUUAAUUUUAAAAAAUAAGAUUAAAAUAAUAUAUUUAUAAUUAAAUUUUUAUAAAUAUUUUUUAUAUGUUUAAUAAUUUUUACCAAAAUAGUUUUAAAAUUCUUUUACCAAUCAAAGCUGUUAGUACUAGUAGUAUUUGAUAACGAGCUGUCAGCAAACCAAACUCCCAAAACGUUUGCCAGUGAACCAAUCAGCUUUUAGUUCGAUGUGAAACAUUUUUUUAAUAAUAUAUAUUAAUUCAACCCGAAAAUCGGAAUUUAGAUCUGUUUACAAACAGGUUUUGAACAAAAUUUUCAAAGUCAAACUAUUACAAAACUAGCUUCGCCCGCCCACUAAAUCCGGCACAUUCCGCUAGUCCGUUUUUGAAAUUCCUUAGAAUUGCUUACUGUUCUCAACCAUCAACCAGAAUCCCGAAAAAGUGAGGUUCUCCUUAUUGCCUCGGAUGCUGAGAUUUCUCGGUUCGUCUCCACAGUAGCUAGCUACCAAUAAACUCCACCAAACUUGUAACCGUCACUAUCUUUGAAGCGCUAGAUGACCAAUAGGGAGGGUUCCGGAUACUUACCACACCAAGGCACGUGUUGUACGCAGCCUCACACAACGCUUGAAACCACCUCCCAACCAAGCAAAGAGGUUGUAAGAAAUUUUGUUAAUAGCUGACGCAACCGCCAAAUGCUAACACGUAACACCGUAACCGCUACGGUUAAGAGUGGAACCUAUCAAAGGUAUUUGAAAAUCAGCCAAACGCUUACACCGUAAUAAGCAUAGAUAGCACUUGUGCACGGUGAGUUUAGAUGGAGCACCACCGCCGAAUUCGAGUCUAGCUUCGAGCUCACCAACUUCCCUGCAGUACUAUCACCUGAUCACCUCUCUUUCUUUCAGCUGAAUCUCUCACUAGUCUUAUGAAUGAUCUGAUUCCUAUUUGUUUCCUUCCUUUUGAUCAAGUAGUGCCCACUAUGAUCCACAUCACAACCUCUUAUGCGUUGUCUCAGGGUGUAUAAAGGGUUAAACCAAUUGUUUCCUCCGAGUUAAACUGUCAGGAAGUUGUUUCUGUUAUUUUCUUUUUUCAUAGUGGAAUCAAAUUGGUAAGGUAUAAAUGAAAUUGCUUCAUGUCCAGUGCUAUUAGCCUGCUGUAAUUAUUUGACUUUCAUGAUCAUGUUUGGUCAACUAGUACGGCAUAUCAGUGUUAAUGCGAGAGGUGUGAGCCUAAGGGAUGACUGAGAAAGUUUCCGAGCACAUGCAGGGUAUAGUUUUCUUCCCCCUUAUAUAUCAUAAACAGUACAUGCCAAGAAAGAAUAGACACAUAUACACAAUGCUCAAUGACUGUAAUCUUAUAUGUAAAUCAAACUAAAGAAAACUCAAGGUCCUAAAAUUAUGAAGCGAGUUGACGAAAGCAAAUGACUGUAGUGUGACAGCCUUCUUCAGCCAAUUACCUCUGAGCUCGAGUCAUCAGAAGGCCAUAUCACGGUCUCCAUGAGGCGUUCACGCAUCAACGCCAAGUUCUCAUCAGAU
Molecule: long non-coding RNA, 2165 nt
Filed under: Brassica napus (rape)
Lineage: Eukaryota; Viridiplantae; Streptophyta; Magnoliopsida; Brassicales; Brassicaceae
Description: long non-coding RNA (BNAP_LNC001120)
Source: RNAcentral